GUGACAGUCGUAAAGUACAAGGUAAAGUAUGAUACAAUAACUCUGUUCCAGGUGACAGUCGUAAAGUACAAGGGAAAGUAGGAUACAAUAACUCUGUUCCACGUGACAGUCGUAAAGCACAAGGUAAAGUAAGAUACAAUAACUCUGUUCCACGUGACAGUCGUAAAGUACAAGGGAAAGUAGGAAAGAAUAACUCUGUUCCAGGUGACAGUCGUAAAGUACAAGGUAAAGUAGGAUAAAAUAACUCUGUUCCACGUGACAGUC
This is a long non-coding RNA of Limulus polyphemus (Atlantic horseshoe crab), 264 nucleotides long. RefSeq lists it as uncharacterized. The transcript is spliced from 3 exons. The record is from RefSeq and is a predicted model, not a curated record. Lineage: Eukaryota; Metazoa; Arthropoda; Merostomata; Xiphosura; Limulidae.